GUGCAUUCUGUUUUGAGGUAUGAAGAGAGGGAUAAUAAAAGGUGCAUAAUUAUCUGAAAAUAAAUUUGCGUAGGAAGAGCCAAUCUUAUCCCCAGGUAUUGAAAAGAUGAACCGAAAAUAAGGUGAAAUAAGCGAGGAAGUGACUGAGAGGGAUUAACAAUAGAUAAUAAACCAAUGUCUGCAUAAGCCGCAACCUUAAGCUCUGCACCAAUCGUAACACCCUGGAUAGCACUAUCUUCUGUUAUACAAUGAAUAGGUUCUAAUGAGAGGGAAGAUAGAAUUGGAGAAAGAAGGCACCAUUGUCGAGUGCCAUUAAAAUUCCCAAAAGGAACUGCCUGUGAUCCAGGCAGUGGCGGAUCCAGGGGGGGGCAACGGGGCAAUUGCCCCCCCCCGAGAAAUCCGCCGGUCUCCCUCUCCCUCCCCUGCCAGCAUGGCAGGCACAGUGCUGAGAACCGGCAGGGGAGGGAGGGAGUGAGAGAGAGGACCCGGAGCUCAGUCUGCAGCUCCUCCGGGUCCUCCUCUCGUGAAAUUUGAAGCUCCAAAUCUUGCGAGAGUGAACUCUAGCCCGGGAGUGCGGGCUAGAGUUCACUGUCCCCACUGGGACCCACAGGGAAUCCCCCACCGUCCACCAGGGAACGAAAUAUGUCCCCCCUCCUCCUCAAUAAAGGUAAGAAGGGAGGGGGGACAUAUUUCGGAUAAAUAAUUAAAUAAAAAAAUUAAAUUCGAAUUAAAUAAAAAAAUAUAUAUAUUAUAAAAAAAAAGCCACACACACAUACAUUGCCCCCAAUACUGCACACAAACUGCCCCCCAUUCACACAAACUGCCCCCCAUACACACAACUGCCCCCCAUACACACACACUGCCCCCCACUUACACAAACUGCCCCCCAUACACACAAACUGCCCCCAUACACACCACUGCCCCCCAUACACACAACUGCCCCCCAUACACACAAACUGCCCCCCCAUACACACACACUGCCCCCCAUACACACACACUGCAACUGUUACACACACAUACUGUCCCACACAUACAUUGCAUCCCUGACAUACACUGCCACCCUUCACAUACACACUGCACCCCUUACACAUUGCACCACUCACACACACCACUGCUCCUAUGCCCUACUACAGCCCCAUUUCCCAGCAGAUCUCAGGUAAGUUGUCAAACUGUUCUUAAACGGUUUGACUACUUACUGUGGGAGGGGGUCCCGGCACUAUUGACACCAUAACCACUACACUGAGCUGUAGUGGUUAUUGUGUCUGGAUUAUUUCUUUAAAUAAUCUACAAGUGCCCCUCCCGAGAUCAGGCUCUGGAUCCGCCACUGGAUCCAGGAAGUUGUUUUUGUGCCCAUAUUAAUAUAGAGCAUGAAUUGUUGUGAUUAAAGAGACUGGAAAGCCC
This is a non-coding RNA of Pelobates cultripes (western spadefoot toad), 1401 nucleotides long. NCBI's taxonomy places the organism in Eukaryota, Metazoa, Chordata, Amphibia, Anura, Pelobatidae. The record is from the annotation of a GenBank genome assembly.